Non-coding RNA from Schistosoma rodhaini, 47 nucleotides. Lineage: Eukaryota; Metazoa; Platyhelminthes; Trematoda; Strigeidida; Schistosomatidae. The record is from Rfam.
AGUUAAGGCUGAAGAGUCCCAAAUAGAACGAAACGCGUGUCCUGAAU